RNAcentral lists this non-coding RNA (169 nucleotides) under Pseudomonas fluorescens. RNAcentral describes it as "FMN sequence". It matches the Rfam family "FMN riboswitch aptamer (RFN element)". From Rfam's summary of the family: The RFN element is a highly conserved domain that is found frequently in the 5'-untranslated regions of prokaryotic mRNAs that encode for flavin mononucleotide (FMN) biosynthesis and transport proteins. The record is from RNAcentral. Lineage: Bacteria; Pseudomonadati; Pseudomonadota; Gammaproteobacteria; Pseudomonadales; Pseudomonadaceae.
AAACGUUCUCAGGGCGGGGUGCAAUUCCCCACCGGCGGUAAUUGCACGCAACGUGCAUAGCCCGCGAGCGCUUGGUGGUACACCACUUUUUGGGGUGUAGCGGCAAGGUCAGCAGACCCGGUGUGAUUCCGGGGCCGACGGUCAUAGUCCGGAUGAAGAGAGAACGGGA